RNAcentral lists this ribosomal RNA (700 nucleotides) under uncultured bacterium. RNAcentral describes it as "bacterial SSU rRNA". It matches the Rfam family "Bacterial small subunit ribosomal RNA", at positions 82 to 814 of the family's 1533-position model. The record is from RNAcentral.
GGCCCUGAGUACAGUGGCGCACGGGUGAGUAACACGUGAAUUAUCUACCUCCGAGUGGGGAAUAACCUAGAGAAAUCUGGGCUAAUACCGCAUAACACUUACGAGUCAAAGCAGCAAUGCGCUUGGAGAGGAGUUCGCGGCCGAUUAGCUAGUUGGCGGGGUAAUGGCCCACCAAGGCGAUGAUCGGUAUCCGGCCUGAGAGGGCGCACGGACACACUGGAACUGAAACACGGUCCAGACUCCUACGGGAGGCAGCAGUGGGGAAUUUUGCGCAAUGGGGGAAACCCUGACGCAGCAACGCCGCGUGGAGGAUGAAAUCCCUUGGGAUGUAAACUCCUUUCGAUCGGGACGAUUAUGACGGUACCGGAAGAAGAAGCCCCGGCUAACUUCGUGCCAGCAGCCGCGGUAAUACGAGGGGGGCAAGCGUUGUUCGGAAUUAUUGGGCGUAAAGGGCGCGUAGGCGGUUUGACAAGUCUGAUGUGAAAUCUAUGGGCUCAACCCAUAGCCUGCAUUAGAAACUGUCGGGCUUGAGUAUGGGAGAGGUGAGUGGAAUUUCCGGUGUAGCGGUGAAAUGCGUAGAUAUCGGAAGGAACACCUGUGGCGAAAGCGGCUCACUGGACCAUAACUGACGCUGAGGCGCGAAAGCUAGGGGAGCAAACAGGAUUAGAUACCCUGGUAGUCCUAGCCCUAAACGAUGAUU